Diachasma alloeum is the source of this 1113-nucleotide long non-coding RNA. RefSeq lists it as uncharacterized. The transcript has 4 exons. The record is from RefSeq and is a predicted model, not a curated record. Lineage: Eukaryota; Metazoa; Arthropoda; Insecta; Hymenoptera; Braconidae.
GCGCAUCCUUGCUACUCCGCUUCUCCACGUCGGUGCCAUAACCACAAACAAAAAUAUCUUCAACAAUUACGCGGCCGGAAAAUUUUCAGUCGGAACCAAAACUCAAAAAAAAAAAUGAAAGGUCAGCUAUUCCUCAAAAAUAAAAGAAUUGAAGUUGGGAGGCAAGCCAUUAAAAUUGGAACAAUGAAGUCUUGUGCUCUGCAAUUGAGAUAUAGUUCUGUGACCAAACUCCAUUGUUUACUUCAUUCUUCCCCAGCAGGAGUCAUAGUUUUUUAUUUCGCCAGCAAGAAUGGAACCUAAGUCAAUAGAGAAAGGGUGAAGAUGAUGACGCCACUUGUUCUCACUCAAUCCUGUUAUCUGCGUUUUGGAAUGGUAAAGGCUUUUCUCAAAAUAAAUGAGGAACGAUUGUUUUUUCAGGGCAAUCGUAAUAAGCUCAGGAAGAGGAAAUUGCAAUUGCGCCAAUCCACGUUGAAAUCAGCCGUGCGAGAUGCCAAUUCUGAAGGUAAAUUCAGCGCAGUAGGUAACUGCCUCGUUGAGUGUCUCAGACAAGAUGGACGGAGUCUUCCUGCCCAUAAACGCCAGAAAUUAGAAAAAAUUUGUCAUUAAAAAUCAGGCAAUUAUUAACUCGCUUGAUUCGUUUUCAUAUUAUUACGAUUAUAUUCAUAAAUAAAUCAUGAGCUGAGUAUCCAAUUGACGGUAACAACGUAUUAGAGACGCAAUGCUGAUCAACGCUGCAGUAUGUUUAGUGACCGUUUUUAUGAAUAUAACACUAGAAAUGGCGCACGCUACGCAGCGUUGAUCAGUAUUGCGUUUUAUUUAUGAAUUUAAUCGCAAUAAUAUGUUGCACUUUACUGGUUAUCAUGAUAUUUACAGCCAAGUGCAACACAUGGCAAUAUUUCGUAUACACCACUGUAUAUCAGCACAUCGGAUACAAUCAGAUUUUGUUUAUCAUUGUUUUAAAAUCAUAAUUGUCAAUAGGUCAAAAUCAAUUUUUUUUUAAAAUUAACUUUGAAGCUAUGGUACAGUGCCAACCUGUUAAUUGAAUGAGAAUAUAAUCAUUUUAAUCCCAUUGUUAAAAAUGUAGUAAAAUAAAUACAAUUAAUGUGAUAUACA